GCUCGGCGUAAAGAGUGGUUAAAAUGAAUAUAUACUAGAGCCGAACCCCCUCAAAACUGUUAUACGUACUCGAGGGCUAGAAGUACAUUUACGAAAGUAGCUUUAACGUUUUUGACCCCACGAAAGCUAGGAAACAAACUGGGAUUAGAUACCCCACUAUGCCUAGCCAUAAACUUUGAUGGAUUUAUUACCACAACCAUCCGCCAGGGUACUACGAGCAUUAGCUUAAAACCCAAAGGACUUGGCGGUGCUUAAGACCCCCCUAGAGGAGCCUGUUCUAGAACCGAUACCCCCCGUUAAACCUCACCCCUCCUUGUUGAACCCGCCUAUAUACCGCCGUCGUCAGCUUACCCUGUGAAGGAUUAAUAGUAAGCAAAAUCAGCA
This 384-nucleotide ribosomal RNA is filed under the name Axoclinus nigricaudus (Cortez triplefin). RNAcentral's name for it is "partial 12S ribosomal RNA". It matches the Rfam family "Bacterial small subunit ribosomal RNA", at positions 547 to 1107 of the family's 1533-position model. The record is from RNAcentral. Lineage: Eukaryota; Metazoa; Chordata; Actinopteri; Blenniiformes; Tripterygiidae.